This 71-nucleotide transfer RNA is filed under the name Carpopeltis phyllophora. RNAcentral's name for it is "tRNA-Cys". It matches the Rfam family "tRNA". Rfam says of the family: Transfer RNA (tRNA) molecules are approximately 80 nucleotides in length. Their secondary structure includes four short double-helical elements and three loops (D, anti-codon, and T loops). Further hydrogen bonds mediate the characteristic L-shaped molecular structure. tRNAs have two regions of fundamental functional importance: the anti-codon, which is responsible for specific mRNA codon recognition, and the 3' end, to which the tRNAs corresponding amino acid is attached (by aminoacyl-tRNA synthetases). tRNAs cope with the degeneracy of the genetic code in two manners: having more than one tRNA (with a specific anti-codon) for a particular amino acid; and 'wobble' base-pairing, i.e. permitting non-standard base-pairing at the 3rd anti-codon position. RNAcentral also lists the same sequence under 4 other names. The record is from RNAcentral. Lineage: Eukaryota; Rhodophyta; Florideophyceae; Halymeniales; Halymeniaceae.
GGCGGUAUAGCCAAGUGGUAAGGCAGAGGAUUGCAAAUUCUUUAUCCCCAGUUCAAAUCUGGGUGCCGCCU